UACGGGAGGCAGCAGUGAGGAAUAUUGGUCAAUGGACGAGAGUCUGAACCAGCCAAGUAGCGUGAAGGAUGACUGCCCUAUGGGUUGUAAACUUCUUUUAUACGGGAAUAAAGUGAGGCACGUGUGCCUUUUUGUAUGUACCGUAUGAAUAAGGAUCGGCUAACUCCGUGCCAGCAGCCGCGGUAAUACGGAGGAUCCGAGCGUUAUCCGGAUUUAUUGGGUUUAAAGGGAGCGUAGGCGGACGCUUAAGUCAGUUGUGAAAGUUUGCGGCUCAACCGUAAAAUUGCAGUUGAUACUGGGUGUCUUGAGUACAGUAGAGGCAGGCGGAAUUCGUGGUGUAGCGGUGAAAUGCUUAGAUAUCACGAAGAACUCCGAUUGCGUAGGCAGCCUGCUGGACUGUAACUGACGCUGAUGCUCGAAAGUGUGGGUAUCAAACAGGAUUAGAUACCCUGGUAGUCCACACAGUAAACGAUGAAUACUCGCUGUUUGCGAUAUACAGUAAGCGGCCAAGCGAAAGAGGUAAGUAUUCCACCUGGGGAGUACGCCGGCAACGGUGCAAG
This 560-nucleotide ribosomal RNA is filed under the name uncultured bacterium. Its description in RNAcentral is "bacterial SSU rRNA". It matches the Rfam family "Bacterial small subunit ribosomal RNA", at positions 340 to 900 of the family's 1533-position model. The record is from RNAcentral.